CACGUAGGCACCAAGCGUUGUCCGGAAUUAUUGGGCGUAAAGGGCUCGUAGGCGGUUUGUCGCGUCGGGAGUGAAAACCUUGGGCUUAACUCAGGGCUUGCUUUCGAUACGGGCAGACUAGAGGUAUGCAGGGGAGAACGGAAUUCCCUGUGUAGCGGUGAAAUGCGUAGAGAUGGGGGAGAACACUCGUGGCGAAGGCGGCCAGCUAGACCAGUUCUGACACUGAGGCGCGACAGCGUGGGGAGCAAACAGG
RNAcentral lists this ribosomal RNA (253 nucleotides) under uncultured bacterium. RNAcentral describes it as "partial 16S ribosomal RNA". It matches the Rfam family "Bacterial small subunit ribosomal RNA", at positions 524 to 776 of the family's 1533-position model. The record is from RNAcentral.